Long non-coding RNA from Ailuropoda melanoleuca (giant panda), 8777 nucleotides. RefSeq lists it as uncharacterized. The transcript has 4 exons. The record is from RefSeq and is a predicted model, not a curated record. Lineage: Eukaryota; Metazoa; Chordata; Mammalia; Carnivora; Ursidae.
GGCCUGACGGAGGCUACACCUGGAUUCCUGCUGCUGAACCCAUGUGACUGGCAUUUGGACUUUUCUACCCAGUUACCCUCUUGUGCGUCUUCAGAAUAGAAGUUCUGCUGCAACAGCUUAAACCAUCCCAGGCCUUUGCACUCUGACCUUCUGCUAGUUUGGCAUCAUUAACUGUUUGAGAAAAAUGACAGGGACUCACUUUCCAAGAAAUUACACUAUGUUCAAUGACUUCCCAUCAAGAGUAAGCAAUGUUCCGUAUCCUGCCAUUGCGGCUGAUGCCCCGGCUGAGGAGGGAGGACACGCCUGCAUUUCACAACUGGUUGUGAUCACAUCUGGCGCAGGGCCUAGGUCAGAGCCACGGAUCUGUCAACAUGACCUCUUUCGAUCACUGCAGAGUGUGCAGGAGGGCUUAAGUUCCUAGAAACGGACCAGAUGUGAAACCCAUCCAAAUGGAAUGAGCUCUUCUGAAGAACCUUGCUUAGUGGCAGGAGACGAGUUCUGUGUCAGAGUCUGAAGCCUAGAUCCUGGACCCAAAGCCACAACUUGCUGCAGGCCUGGCCAAGCUGCCGUGGGUCCUCGAGGGUGGCUCACUUCGCCACGAAGCCUGUUCCUCCUUCCUUUAUUUGACAUUCAUCUGCUCCUUUGGGAAGAGCCACCUCUGCUCACCACACUAGCAGCAUGCAGCACUGGCCUCACUCUGAAAUUAGCUGCUUUUUAGUAGACUCCUGUUUCUAAUUGUCACUUCCUGGAGGCAGAGUCAGCCAGCCCCUCUCAUGGCUUCUCAGUUCUCCAGCUGGGAUUUCUGGAGGCCACUGGGAGGCCACUUGCAUUUUUGCUGCCUUCCAACCCUCGGCUCUGUUGUCGGCUCAUGAAUGAACAAGCAGCAGCAUUUCCCUGCUGGUAUGGGCUCCCCACUGCCGUGGGGCACUCACCACCGGCAGAGGGGGGCAGGUGUCCUGAAAGGACUGGACCAGCUGUGGGUGUCAAGGUGGACGCUGGCUUGGCUCUGGCAGCUCGGGCUCAGCAUGCUGAGCUGAACCAUCCGAGGCUCCUCCGGGAAACAGGUUGAGCAAAUCUCUCUUCUCCCUCUCUGGGCUCAUGCAUAUUCAUCAGCAGAACAACUCCAGGCCAAAGAUAAUGAUUCAUGCAGGAAGCGCCAUUCUGAACAUUAUUAUCUGGGAGUGACAAAUGAAUUUCUAAUUUAACAUGUGUAUUGCACAAAUAGAUCACAAGAACUUUAAAGUCAAAAGCAUCCUUUGGAGUCAUGCAACUUCUGUUGUAACGUAGCGUAAAAUGGUAGAGGAAGAGCGUCUCCCCACUGGUGGGCUGUGCGUAGCUGUUCCCUUCAAAGCAGAGGAGAAAUGAAAGGGGGUGUGAUUUCAGACACCGCUUGAGUCUACAAUAGAAGCCAAUAAUGAUGGCCAAGAAUGGAACAACAGUGACAACAACAAAGGGCCGGCCACUGGCACGAGCACGAUCAUUGUUUCGAGUUAUUACUUGGAGAUGAGCGGAGUACUCUUUCCCUCCCGUCCCUGCCGACAACAGAAAUGCAGUAAAGGCCACUUGGGUUCAUUGGUUGCUCAGUAAGAGUCAGAAGCCAGUGACCAUGAGGCGAGACUGAGGAGGGAAUGGGGGAAUUGAUUUGAGUUGUGUUCCAGUACCAGUUUCAUGUUGAAAUGUUAAUUUAUAGCAUGAUAAUGUGAUAGCUACACCGUCUGCCUGUCAGCAAAGAUUGGCCACUUCCAGCUUGUCAGAGCUGACAGUCAAGCACGAAAUGGCUACUGUCAGGGAGUGGCAGCUCUUGGAAGACUAAGUCUUAAGCCAUUUCUUAACGUUCUGUGUCCCUGUCCUCACUGCCCGCUCCCAUCCCUCUUCUUUCCAACGGCGAGAAUAAACCAGCUGCCCGUCCCUUCACCUACUCUCACAUUCCUCCAAAGCCUGUGGAAAACUCAGACUUCUGGAAAACGGGAAAUCUGCUCUUGGUUUUGCUUUUUUGAGCUAAUAAUGACAUUUGAUGUUUACUAGAUACAAGGUGCUGUGAUCCAGCACAUUACCUUUAUGACCUCAUUAAAUUCUCACAGCCAUCAAUGACAAAAAUGCUAGUAUCCCCAAUUUACUGAGGAGGAAACUGAGGCUCUCAGAGGCUAAGUCACAUGUCUAAAUUCACGUGAACUAAGUCUGUGCUUGGCAGAGGCAGGAAUAGAGACCAGGUCUGCUAGACUUCAGGGACCACCCUCUUCAUUACUAAGCUCUAAGAUCUAAUGUCGGAGAAGGGUGUCCUUUUAGGGAUGAUUGCACAAAUGUUGACCAAGUGAAACCCUGGUGCAGGACCUCCCUUAAGCUGGUCAGUGAGGUCCCCUGGCUUUGUCCACCUGUUUUCCGUUUGGUGAGAUGAGGUGCUGACAGGGCUAAGGACAGGUGCCCAUCUGGGCCCCAUAUUCCCUCUCCACCAUGCUCUGGCAGGAUGAGGCUUUAAAACCUCACCACUCAAGCUCAGCAGAAAAGCUUUUGCUUUUCUCUAAUAGUCUCAGCUCUGAUUGGGUCUCCUGCCCCAAAUUAAACCGAUCACUGAGGCCAGGGGAUGUAGUACUGUGAUUGGCCAGGCUGAGUCACAUGUUUACUGCUGGAGGUGUGGAUGAAGUCCUCAUCACCAGAAUGAUCUGGUCUGAGAGCAAGAGAAAGGUGGUGGUCCCAAAGAAGGGGAAAGAAGUGUUGACCAGACAAAACCAACAGGUGUCAAGUCUCUUGAUGGUUGGCAAGUCUCUCUGCCUCCUGUAGGUUCUAAAGGUUAUAGGAGAGAGAGAGAGUAAUUUGAGGAGGGAUGCAGAAGGGAACGGAAAAUCAGAGGGAAAGAUAGAAGGAUCCUUUCAGAGAGGUUUGCUCAGAAAUGGAAACAGAGAAGAACCAGAAAGAUUUCUCUUCAACUCCUCAAGAGAGAGAGAACACACAGGAAGAAAUGCUUUAUCAGCCCAGCCGUGUCUGAUUCCCCCUUCCCCUACCACACAGGCCAGUGAUCUUCAGUUUUUGUUCUGAAGAUACCCAAAGCUCUGGGAGGAUUCCUCAGGCUCUUUUAGAGGCAACUGCAAAGUGGGAUCUGGAGAAAGCUCAGUGGGGAAAGCUAAGACCCCUCCUGGCUUCAUUCCCUUUCCCCAUAUUUCCUUUCAGUGCAUUUCUACGUAAGACCUUGUUUGGAGGGGAAAAAAAAGAGUUCCUCUGCCAAACACUGCUCUACACCAAGAUAUUCUUAAAGAAUAAAGUCCUUUUGCUUACCUCUGUCUCCCCGGUGUUGAACGCAGUGCUGGGUAUACAGUACAGACCCAACAAUCACCAGACUAUCAGAUGGAACUGAAAGUGCAGAAUGACAGCCAGGGAAAAGCAAUAGAAUAAAAUUAUGACUGUAAAAUCUUAAACCAUGGAAAGGAAGCUAAGGGCUUUUGGGGGUACACAGAGAACUGGCGAUGCCCUUCACGAUAGUAUGACCACAAAGGCUUGUGUACGAAGAACAGAUGACCAUUUACUCCUCUCUUUUUGGCUGUGGCACAGCUCUAACUGAAGGGGUAAAAUGUUUGUGAUGGGCCCCUUGUUAAUAAUAACAUCACUCUCCCGACAUUUAUCAAGAGCCAGGUAUUUGUGCAUUACCUCAUUUAACUCUCCUAAUGGCCCCAUGAGGCAGAUGCUCUAAUUAUUUUGCUUACAUCAUGGGCUGGAGAGAUUAUGGCCUGGACAGGCCAAGGUCAUACUUCUAAUAGGGCAAGGCCAGGGUAUCUAUCCACCUGUCUGAUUCCAGGGGCACAGUCCUUAAGCAGUAUGGUAUUUGCUCCCCACAUGAGAGUGUAUUUCUGUUGGUCCUGCAGAAACACCUAAUGUUUUAGAGUUCAGGCAACUAGCGAGAGGAGCAUUGAUGAGCUGAAGCCCCUCAGCUGGCCAGGAUGCAAGUGAUGGAUGGACCUUUGUAGGAAUGGUCUCUUUAUGAAGGACCGAAGACCUUGCGGGAUGUGGAAACCCUUCAGACCCCUCGAGGGCCACUGGGGGAAGGAGGGAUUAGCUUUGUUUCGGGGAGUUUCAGUGGGAGAAAAAGAAAUAUCACAUCUUCAAGUAGACAGAUUUCUGUGCAAUAUGAGGACAAGCUUUCUAGAAUGGCGCUCCUCAAGGACUAGUGUGCAUGAGACUCACUUUGAGAGCUCGUUAGAACACAUGUUCAUGGGCCCACAUCCAGAGAUUCUGAUUCAGUAGGUCUGGAUUGGGUCCUGACCGUUUGCACUUCUCAUAAGCUCACAGAUGCUGCUAUUCCCCAGAUGUAUAUUCUAGGCUUUGUGGGCCAGUCAGUGUCUCAACUGUUCAACUCUGCUAUUGCAGUGCAAAAGCAAUUAUGUAAAUACAUAUGACAAAAUGUAAAUACAUGAGCAUGUGUUCCAAUAAAACUUUAUUUACAAAUACAGGCAGCCAAGCCCUUGUGCGUCAGUUAGGCUUCUGAGCUGACAGCAACAGAAAUCACUGUUUAAUGAGGCAAGGAGCUUAUUACCUCGCCUUUGGCAGGUUCUCCCUGAGCCUAUUCGUACCAUGGGCCCUUGCCUUGUCCAGUGUUACCGGUUCUUGAAGAACACCCAAAGUCUCCUUUCUGCCAAGUCUGACCUCUGAUCUCUGCUGCCUCAUUUGCAAUCUUUUUUUCUCAUUUGGAAGGAAGCAAAGAGGGAUGUGUUCCAUCUCUGCCUAUGUGGUGUUUGAUUCACAUGAGUGGCCCUCUGAAGCUGGAAAAUGUCUCUACAUGUGUGACUCAUGAGAGACAAUGCUGGCAAGGCAUUCACAUCUGAGUGAGCACCAUUCUUCUGUGUUACUCACAUCAGCAGUACCUGCCCCGUGCUAGAGCUGAGAGAUCCAGACAGUACGCAGAAUGCCUGGGAGAGGUUCGGACCCAGCCAGCCAAGUCAUCAAGUGUAGAACAAGGAGCAUAUGACUGAGCCCAACUCAGGGCCAAACUCCUGUUCCCCGGAAGUCAGAAAAAUCCCUUUCUCCAGGAAGGGAGGCUUUACCAAAUUUGAUUUAACUAUUAGUUUGAGAUAACAGUGGCUGAGUAACACUCUGUUGGUUAUGGUGUCAAAAAUAAUCCCACAUGUGGUCUGUUGGAUAAGAGCUGGGACCUGUUUUCAUGAGAAGACACUGAUACAUAUUCUCUCUCCAAAUUAUUCCUUGGGUCAGCCUUAUUCUACCACCAACCCCCAGUAAGCGAUAACAGACGCAGACAUACAUGCACGUGUCCGUACACGUGGGCACGCAUGCGUACAUGCACACAUUUAGGAUAUUUGUCACGCACGCUCAUGGCAUCUCCAGAGAACCUGGCUUAGAGGUCAUGGAUUCAGGAUCAUCCCUGAAAUUAUGCUGCAGGCUUGGGCAGGUGGAACUGCCACGGUGGCCACCCCGGGCCCAACACCCUGGUCUAACUGCUGGCGCUGGACAUGGAAUGCUGUUGCAAGAAUCUCUACCUUUCUCGCCUCUGGAAGCGGAGCAUUCCAGCUGCCCCUCUCUUCAGGUUUUUCUGUAGCAACCAGUUUCCCUUUCCAAGUCUUGUAUGGGCCCCGCUGAUUGGCAGGGGGACAUGCACGGGCCCGCUGAUUGGCAGAGUGUGGGCCAAUGCCUGUGCCCUCACUGUAGGGGCUGCUGGGAAAGAGUCUGAGGCUUCCGCCCUAAAGUAGAGUCUUCCCCUCAAAGGAAGGAUAGGCAAAGAUCAGAGUCGUCAAAACCGUCGAAAAAUGUCAGCUCUACUUUCUAAGACCGCGUUUUGUCCAUCUUGGGCCCUGUCCACCGUUUUGUCUACUUUUCCCCUCUUCCCAGAUUAAUUUCAAAUGUUCGUCUACAUUCUUCAGCCCACAGCACAAGUGCCACUCUUAGGGCUGGCUUCUCAGGAAAAGCUUAGUUUCUCCUAAGAACAGAGUCCGGAUUAUUAGCAGCACAAAAUCUGCCUUCCUCUUUCCUGAGAAGAGCCUUCGGUUUCCAAAAAUGCAAGGCAGGAAGUAAAAAAAAAAAGAAAGAAAGAAAGAAAAAAAAAGAAAAAUUGAAAGAGAGAAUAUGAGUUGAGCAAUUCAUUUUGUAACACAGGUUAACUUCAGCUCAUCUAAAAAUCAAAAUUGAAAACAAAUUGGAUUAAAUUGCAGCAAGAUAGCUUUCUGGUUUUUCAGGCUUGUGGCAACAUGGAAUUUCUUUCCUGGAGGUCCUUUGGGAAUUGGCUGGAUCCACCAUGUUGACUGGCAUAAUUAUGACCUAGUUGUGUGUGGAGAUGGAGACGCAGAUCAGACGGCUUUCACAUGUCCCUACUAGCCUAGCUUCCGUCCUGGUGCUGCAGCAGCCUGUAUGGGAUGACGGUGCGGCCCUGAACGUUCCACUGAGGACGGGCACGCAAGUGUCUGCAUGUCUGGUGGGGGCGGCAAAGUCAGCCAGAACCAGGAACAAAGGCUGAUUCUUGGUGUGGGUUAACCACUGCCUAUUAUUCCUUCUCCAACCCAAAUAAGUUUUGUGACUGCUAGAGAAAUUGAAAUUGCCAAAGAGAAAAGUGGGGGGGGGUGCUCUAAUAUUUUCUCUGACUCUUACUUAAACAUUGGCAACUUUCCUAAGACUAUAAAUAUGAUUGGGGCCCAGCCAUUUCUCUCUUUGUAGUCUAUGAAAAUUAACUCAGUCCGCAGGGGCUGCAAUCACUGCCAAAAACCUCAAGUGUGGGCUCUUCCUCCACACUGACAAAAAUAACAGUUAAUUAGGCUGCAACACCCAAAGGAAAGUGAACUUACACCACCAAUCGCAGGGCGGCAUGCGAAAUGUCGCCAUGACAACCGGCAUUUACAGCUCUUCAAUUUUAAUAUAUCAAAGGCUAGGGAUAAUUUCCCAGUGAGAAUACACGAGGGUGGAUUUUUUUUUUUUUUACCCCCUCCUUAUUCUUUCUGCCAGUCUUUUGCCAUUACGGGAGCUCUAUUCCUGUGGCAACAGGUUUAAAAGGAAGAGAAGUCUUGUGAAAGCAUCGAACACCUGGCAUGGUACUCCUGGAGAUGGUGCACGCCUUGGGAGCCCCAGGGAGGAUGGCACAGCAUUCUUCUCAGAGUGUGGGCUGGGUGAAAAGAACUCAAGCAGGCGAAGUGUGAGCUGUGAACCUUCUCCCCCCACUCCAGGUGAACUUGCUCUUUCAUGAACUUCCCUUCCUGCCUCUGUCUCUCCAUCCCUCCAUCUUCCCUCCAUUCCUCCUUCUCUCCCUCCGUCCUUUCCUCUGUUUCUCCCUCCCUCCCUCCCUCCCUCUCUUCCUUCUUCCCUCCUUCCCUCCCUUCUUGUGUUGAGUGCUUACUCUGUUCCAGGUACCUAAUAGACAUCGCCUCCUUUAUUUUAUAUGACUACACUGUAAGUUAAAUAUUAUUUUCUAUGCGAGGACAUGGAGAUUAAGAGAGGUUGAAUGCCUAAAUCACACAGUAAGUUGCAGAGCCUGGAUUUGAACCAGUUCAGACCUUACAGUUCAGAGCCCUUGUACUUUCUGUCUCCUCAGUAUUAUUAAAAUGAACUCUCUAUAAAUAGAGGUAAAUAAAUUUGCUAUUAUCACCAUUGCCCUCACCACUGUGUAUCAGUCAGCUACUGCUGCAUAACAAUCAUCAACAGAAUCUUGAUGCCAUACAAUAAUAAACAUCUUCCUCACUUCCGGAUAGGGAGGCUGUGAUCCCCAGGUGUUUAUCCUGGGGCCCAGGCUGAAUGGGAAGCUGUUGCCCAGAGGCAGCUCUUCUCAUGGUGAUGGCAGAGUCAUAGAGGGUAUGUCCAAACACACAAGCACUUUCACAUCCGUCCUGUGUCUUUGUCUGUUAAUAUCCUCUCAAGUCACAUGAUUGAACCCAAAGACAAGGAGUAGCAAUAUACACCCUCCCUUUUGGGGGAGGAAUUGGAAAGUUUUAUAGCAAGGGUGUAGAUACAGGAAGGGAUGAAGAACUGGGGCCCAAAAGAUCAUUUUACACAGUUAGCACCACUACUGUCGUUGUCAUCAUCACCAACUUCAUCGCUUCUAUGGGCCAGACCUCUCUUUACCUUGAUCUAUGUUUAAGUAAUUAGUGAUUUCUUUACAAAGCUUUUCAAGAGUGCUAGUCAUUACUGGAGGAACUAAUAAUCAUUCAAUGGGAUGAAGUUUUCCAUAAAAAUAUUUUUUUAAGAACCUUGUAUCUUGGUUUAUCACAAUUUUGAAAAGUAUGGUGGUGAAUGCAGUUCAAUAUACCAAGUUUCUUUUGAAUUACUAUGUAUUUUACUUUAUGCAUUUAAAAACCUAUUUGUGUGUGUGUGUGUGGGGGGGGAUAGGUUUCACCAAACAACGGACCAUUUCUUUGCACUAAACAAUGAAGAUUCCCUUGGUCUUCAUCAUGUUUGCCCUGACAUGAGACAUCAACGUGAUUUGUAAUCAUGGUCCUACACAUUUAUAGAAAACUUUAUAGUAUAUAAAGCCUCCCCAUACCCAGAUCUUUAUAUUUCAUCUGCGUAGCCGUGGGGACCCGCAGGUGACAUACCCAAGCCUGAAAGUCAGGUUUCUAAAAGCCAUUCCUAGUAUUGAAAAGCCAUUCUGGUAAAUGAGGCAUUUCCCAGAAAUUGUGAUAAUUUCAGUAUCUGAGCCUAAUAAGUAAGGAGUGGUCAAUUUUACCUUGAGAAUAGUCUGAAAAUAGAGGGAAGUAGAUUCUUUCUAAUUUUUAAGAUAUAAAAACUCUAGAUUUUGUGUGCAUGCUAUAAAUAUCUACAUUUGUAAACCUCAGAAUUCUAAAAUUACCUUCCUUGUU